UACGGGGGGUGCGAGCGUUGUCCGGAAUCACUGGGCGUAAAGGGCGCGUAGGUGGUUUGAUAAGGGUGUGGUGAAAGCCCGGGGCUCAACCCCGGGUCUGCCGUGCCGACUGUCAAACUCGAGGGCUGUAGAGGCAGACGGAAUUCCUGGUGUAGCGGUGAAAUGCGCAGAUAUCAGGAAGAACACCCGUGGCGAAGGCGGCUCUCUGGGACGGUACUGACGCUGAGACGCGAAAGCGUGGGGAGCGAACAGG
RNAcentral lists this ribosomal RNA (253 nucleotides) under uncultured bacterium. RNAcentral describes it as "partial 16S ribosomal RNA". It matches the Rfam family "Bacterial small subunit ribosomal RNA", at positions 524 to 776 of the family's 1533-position model. The record is from RNAcentral.